CAAGUCGAACGGCAGCGCGGGGGCUUCGGUCUCUGGCGGCGAGUGGCGGACGGGUGAGUAAUAUAUGGGAACGCGCCCGGCGGCGGGGGAUAACUCUGGGAAACCAGAGCUAAUACCGCAUGCGUUUCGCCUUUCGGGGCGAAAGAAAGCGGGGGACUUCUUCGGAGGCCUCGCACCGGCGGAGCGGCCCAUAUCCGAUUAGCUUGUUGGCGGGGUAACAGCCCACCAAGGCCGCGAUCGGUAGCUGGUCUGAGAGGACGGACAGCCACACCGGGACUGAGACACGGCCCGGACUCCUACGGGAGGCAGCAGUGGGGAAUAUUGGACAAUGGGGGCAACCCUGAUCCAGCAAUGCCGCGUGUGUGAAGAAGGCCUUCGGGUUGUAAAGCACUUUCGCGGGGGAAGAAAAAGCGAGGGGUAAUAUCUCUCGCGCCUGACGGUACCCCGAGAAGAAGCACCGGCUAACUACGUGCCAGCAGCCGCGGUAAUACGUAGGGUGCGAGCGUUAAUCGGAAUUACUGGGCGUAAAGCGUGCGCAGGCGGCCUGUCAAGUCGGGUGUGAAAUCCCCGGGCUCAACCCGGGAAUUGCGCUUGAAACCGGCGGGCUAGAGUACGGCAGAGGAAGGUGGAAUUCCGUGUGUAGCGGUGAAAUGCGUAGAUAUACGGAAGAACACUCAUGG
This 680-nucleotide ribosomal RNA is filed under the name uncultured bacterium. RNAcentral's name for it is "bacterial SSU rRNA". It matches the Rfam family "Bacterial small subunit ribosomal RNA", at positions 58 to 715 of the family's 1533-position model. The record is from RNAcentral.